AUAUAUCUAUAUAUAUACAGUGCAUAUGCAUUAAAGACUAUCACAAAAAUGUAACAAGUAAUCUUGCAUUCCUAUAACAAGUGCAAUGAACACAAUACCAGACUAGAACACAUACAAAGCCCUAUGGACAUGCAUCUAUCACUCAAUGAAUUUACAUCUAUAAAUAUAUUAAGAUAAAAACUGUCAUGAUUAAUUAAUAGUGAUAAUUUUAUAUUCAGCAAGAAAAAAUAAACACAUAAGAAAGCUGGAAUGUGCCUCAAACAAAUUGCAGGAAUAUGAUAACCCAACUUUACUGAACAGCUUAUGAGCAAUUGUUAAUGUGUAUGGUUACUGCUUGCCUCUUAUUAUGAACCAAGCUGUAACUGAAAACAGUAGAAUCACUGAUACAUUUUACUGAGAGAAAAGUCGACUAGAAAGGUAAAGCAAAGUUUUUGAGAUAAAAUGUGUCAUCUGCUGCAGCCAUUCAUUCGAAAGUAUUACAUAUAUUCAGCAGAAGAUAUCUAAUAAAGCAACAAAUGAUGCAAUUAUUUCUGGGACUGAUCCAGGAAUUUUUAAGGGGGCAUAAUUAUAGAAAUUGGAAUAUUAAAUUCCACGAAGGGAGCAAGAAAAAUUUGAACAAAUUUUAUUCUAAAUAAUAUAUAUAUUUCAAAUCAAUGAGGGGCAUACACCUUCAAGGCUCUCCCCCCAAUGAUUUAUGUUAGUGCUACUUAGAGAUCAUUUGUGUCAGCGAUUGUAAAAACCAAGUAUAUAUACAAUCCAAAUUAAAUUUAAAAGGAAAU
RNAcentral lists this long non-coding RNA (779 nucleotides) under Mytilus galloprovincialis (Mediterranean mussel). The record is from RNAcentral. Lineage: Eukaryota; Metazoa; Mollusca; Bivalvia; Mytilida; Mytilidae.